RNAcentral lists this microRNA precursor (72 nucleotides) under Homo sapiens (human). RNAcentral describes it as "mir-3689 microRNA precursor family". It matches the Rfam family "mir-3689 microRNA precursor family". The record is from Rfam by way of RNAcentral. Lineage: Eukaryota; Metazoa; Chordata; Mammalia; Primates; Hominidae.
GGGAGGUGUGAUCCUGUUCUUCCUGAGCGGUGUGAUCCUGUGCUCCCUGGGGGGUCUGAUCCUGUGCUUCCU